AAAUUUGGCCGUCGCACUUGUCGUGGUGGGGGCCCAUUUACUGUAUAUAUCAAUUAGAUUUUGACCUCUAUGGGUCCGACACCUUUUCUGGCUGUGGAGACUUGUAAAUUGUAGUUUUAGGAAGGAUUCCCUCAAUUUAUUUUCUUAUAUAGGUUAUUUUGUAUUUUUUAUAAAUAUUUUUGUAAAUUAUUUUUUGUUAUAUACUUAUUUUUUUAAAAUAUUUGUAAUAAAUAUCAAAUUUGUA
Long non-coding RNA from Macrobrachium nipponense, 244 nucleotides. RefSeq lists it as uncharacterized. The transcript is spliced from 2 exons. Lineage: Eukaryota; Metazoa; Arthropoda; Malacostraca; Decapoda; Palaemonidae. The record is from RefSeq and is a predicted model, not a curated record.